AUGAACGCUGGCGGCGUGCUUAACACAUGCAAGUCGAACGGAGUUUUAACGGAAGUUUCGGAUGGAAGUUAAGAACUUAGUGGCGGACGGGUGAGUAACGCGUGGGUAACCUGCCUCAUACAGGGGGAUAACAGUUAGAAAUGACUGCUAACACCGCAUAAUAUAGUGAAACCGCAUGAUUUUUGCUAUCAAAUAUUUAUAGGUAUGAGAUGGGCCCGCGUCUGAUUAGCUAGUUGGUGGGGUAAAAGCCUACCAAGGCGACGAUCAGUAGCCGGCUUGAGAGAGUGACCGGCCACAUUGGGACUGAGACACGGCCCAAACUCCUACGGGAGGCAGCAGUGGGGAAUAUUGGACAAUGGGGGAAACCCUGAUCCAGCGAACCGCCGCGUGAGUGAAGAAGUAUUUCGGUAUGUAAAGCUCUAUCAGCAGGGAAGAUAAUGACAGUACCUGACUAAGAAGCCCCGGCUAACUACGUGCCAGCCGCAGC
This 487-nucleotide ribosomal RNA is filed under the name uncultured bacterium. RNAcentral's name for it is "bacterial SSU rRNA". It matches the Rfam family "Bacterial small subunit ribosomal RNA", at positions 29 to 518 of the family's 1533-position model. The record is from RNAcentral.